This 253-nucleotide ribosomal RNA is filed under the name uncultured bacterium. RNAcentral's name for it is "partial 16S ribosomal RNA". It matches the Rfam family "Bacterial small subunit ribosomal RNA", at positions 524 to 776 of the family's 1533-position model. The record is from RNAcentral.
AACGUAGGGGGCUAGCGUUGCCCGGAAUCACUGGGCGUAAAGCGGGUGUAGGCGGUUCUUUAAGUCGGAUGUGAAAUCCAGCGGCCCAACCGCUGAAUUGCAUCCGAUACUGGGGAACUUGAGGACGGUAGAGGUCGGUGGAAUUUCCGGUGUAGCGGUGAAAUGCGUAGAUAUCGGAAGGAACACCAGUGGCGAAAGCGGCUUCCUGGUCCAGCACCGACGUUCAGGCACGAAAGCGUGGGGAGCAAACAGG